CGGAGUGUAGCGCAGCUUGGUAGCGCAUCUGGUUUGGGACCAGGGGGUCGGGAGUUCGAAUCUCUCCACUCCGA
RNAcentral lists this transfer RNA (74 nucleotides) under Candidatus Liberibacter solanacearum. RNAcentral describes it as "tRNA-Pro". It matches the Rfam family "tRNA". From Rfam's summary of the family: Transfer RNA (tRNA) molecules are approximately 80 nucleotides in length. Their secondary structure includes four short double-helical elements and three loops (D, anti-codon, and T loops). Lineage: Bacteria; Pseudomonadati; Pseudomonadota; Alphaproteobacteria; Hyphomicrobiales; Rhizobiaceae. The record is from RNAcentral.